UACGAAGGGGGCUAGCGUUGCUCGGAAUCACUGGGCGUAAAGCGCACGUAGGCGGACUCUUAAGUCAGGGGUGAAAUUCCUGGGCUCAACCUGGGGGCUGCAUUUGAUGCGUAUGGGCUUGAGUGGGGAAGAGGGUCGUGGAAUUCCCAGUGUAGAGGUGAAAUUCGUAGAUAUUGGGAAGAACACCGGUGGCGAAGGCGGCGACCUGGUCCUUGACUGACGCUGAGGCGCGAAAGCGUGGGGAGCAAACAGG
RNAcentral lists this ribosomal RNA (253 nucleotides) under uncultured bacterium. Its description in RNAcentral is "partial 16S ribosomal RNA". It matches the Rfam family "Bacterial small subunit ribosomal RNA", at positions 524 to 776 of the family's 1533-position model. The record is from RNAcentral.